Molecule: unclassified non-coding RNA, 324 nt
Filed under: soil metagenome
Description: partial contains 5.8S ribosomal RNA, internal transcribed spacer 2, and large subunit ribosomal RNA
Rfam family: 5.8S ribosomal RNA (bases 1-120)
Source: RNAcentral
GAUGAAGAACGCAGCGAAAUGCGAUAAGUAAUGCGAAUUGCAGAAUUCAGUGAGUCAUCGAAUCUUUGAACACACAUUGCGCCCUGUGGUAUUCCGCAGGGCAUGCCUGUUCGAGCGUCAUUUCAACCCUCAAGCCUCGCUUGGUGUUGGGCCCUGCCCGCCGCGGCCGGCCCUAAAGAUAGUGGCGGCGCCGCCCGGCCCUCAGCGUAGUACAGCUCUCGCUCCAGGGUCCGGCGGCAGCCUGCCAGAACCCCCCAACUCUGUGGUUGACCUCGGAUCAGGUAGGGAUACCCGCUGAACUUAAGCAUAUCAAUAAGCGGAGGA